CCCAGACUCCUACGGGAGGCAGCAGUGAGGAAUAUUGGUCAAUGGCCGUAAGGCUGAACCAGCCAAGUCGCGUGAAGGAAGAAGGAUCUAUGGUUUGUAAACUUCUUUUAUAGGGGAAUAAAGGUAUCCACGUGUGGAUAUUUGCAUGUACCCUAUGAAUAAGCAUCGGCUAACUCCGUGCCAGCAGCCGCGGUAAUACGGAGGAUGCGAGCGUUAUCCGGAUUUAUUGGGUUUAAAGGGUGCGUAGGUUGUUUUUUAAGUCAGCGGUGAAAGUUUGUGGCUCAACCAUAAAAUUGCCGUUGAAACUGGAAGACUUGAGUGUGUUUGAGGUAGGCGGAAUGCGUGGUGUAGCGGUGAAAUGCAUAGAUAUAACUUAGAACUCCGAUAGCGAAGGCAGCUUACCAGACUGCGACUGACGCUGAAGCACGAGAGCGCGGGGAUCGAACAGGAUUAGAUACCCCUGUA
This 465-nucleotide ribosomal RNA is filed under the name uncultured bacterium. RNAcentral describes it as "partial 16S ribosomal RNA". It matches the Rfam family "Bacterial small subunit ribosomal RNA", at positions 330 to 792 of the family's 1533-position model. The record is from RNAcentral.